UAAUAUUGACCUCGUAUCAGGUAAGAGUACCCGCUGAACUUAAGCAUAUCAAUAAGCGGAGGAAAAGAAACCAACAGGGAUUGCCUUAGUAGCGGCGAGUGAACCGGCAAAAGCUCAAAUUUGAAAUCUGCUACCAAUAGCCGAAUUGUAAUUUGUAGAUGGUAACUCUGUAAGGAGUCUUUGCUCAAGUUUUCUGGAAUGAAACAUCAUGGAGGGUGAGAAUCCCGUGAGGCAUUGACGUACUUGCGUGUAGAGUGCUAUCGAAGAGUCGAGUUGUUUGGGAAUGCAGCUCAAAGUGGGUGGUAAACAUCAUCUAAAGCUAAAUAUUGGCGAGAGACCGAUAGCGAACAAGUACUGUGAAGGAAAGAUGAAAAGUACCUUGAAAAGGGGGUGAAAAAGUAUGUGAAAUUGAUAAUAUGGAAGGGUAUGAGAUUAGACAUUGAGUUUUGAGUUCGCUGGUCCCUCGGGGCUAGUUUGUCUCUUUACUCUACACCAACAUCAGUUUUGGCAGGAGGAUAAACAAUGCGGAAUGUAGCUGCUUGCAGUGUUAUAGACGUAUUGCAUACUCUUAGCCGGGACUGAGGUCAGCCUUUGUAGGAUGUUGGGGUAAUGAUCUUAUACCAC
RNAcentral lists this ribosomal RNA (624 nucleotides) under Wickerhamiella vanderwaltii. Its description in RNAcentral is "LSU rRNA". It matches the Rfam family "Eukaryotic large subunit ribosomal RNA", at positions 1 to 648 of the family's 3401-position model. The record is from RNAcentral. Lineage: Eukaryota; Fungi; Ascomycota; Dipodascomycetes; Dipodascales; Trichomonascaceae.